Molecule: long non-coding RNA, 283 nt
Filed under: Dermacentor andersoni
Lineage: Eukaryota; Metazoa; Arthropoda; Arachnida; Ixodida; Ixodidae
Description: uncharacterized LOC126517476
Source: RNAcentral
CGCGCAUCUGAGCGUUGGACUGUUCGGGUACCCGUCUGCCUGUUUUUCUAUUUUGGGAUUUAGCCUGGUUUGGUGGCCUCCCGGCGAAUUAUUGCGGUCAUUCGGAGCUUCGACAUGGCAGCACUGCACUAUUGGACUACGGCAAGCUCACGUCGUCUGGUGGAGCUUCCUGCGGAAACUACUGCUGCUUACCUUGUGCCACAAUGCUGGAUGAAUGCACAAAAAGCCCGCGACGAGCAUUUACAAAGAACAAAAUAAACGUUAAUUUUUCCUCAUUUCACAA